RNAcentral lists this ribosomal RNA (403 nucleotides) under uncultured bacterium. RNAcentral's name for it is "bacterial SSU rRNA". It matches the Rfam family "Bacterial small subunit ribosomal RNA", at positions 355 to 775 of the family's 1533-position model. The record is from RNAcentral.
UGGGGAAUAUUGGACAAUGGGCGAAAGCCUGAUCCAGCAAUGCCGCGUGAGUGAUGAAGGCCUUAGGGUUGUAAAGCUCUUUUACCAGGGAAGAUGAUGACUGUACCUGGAGAAUAAGCCCCGGCUAACUCCGUGCCAGCAGCCGCGGUAAGACGGAGGGGGCUAGCGUUGUUCGGAAUUACUGGGCGUAAAGCGCACGUAGGCGGUUUACCCAGUCAGGCGUGAAAGCCCCGGGCUUAACCCGGGAAUAGCGCUUGAUACUGGUAGACUUGAGACCGGGAGAGGAUAGCGGAAUUCCCAGUGUAGAGGUGAAAUUCGUAGAUAUUGGGAAGAACACCAGUGGCGAAGGCGGCUAUCUGGACCGGUACUGACGCUGAGGUGCGAAAGCGUGGGGAGCAAACAG